CGUAUGCCCACUAAAUACACACGUUGUAUCUAACUGAACAACAUACAGAAACACACUGGAUUAUAAAAUGUGCCUUGACAAAAAGUAGAUCUUUAAUUUGUUACAGCUAAACUGUGAACAAACUGACCAAAUAGUUUCACGCUAACACCACGUCAAUGUUUAACAGUUUAACAUCCGUCCUGAUUUUUGCGUUGUGUAACGUUCGUCAUCAGCCAGGAGGAAACUCCAGGCACCGCUCAGUUCACCGUCAACACCUGUUUCAUUAGGCUCCGCCCCUCCCUUAUAAAAACCUGACAUAUCGAGUUCUCUUCUUAACAUUCCAACUCAAUUUUUCUUACGAAUAGUACAAACAACUAAUUUGAUUUAGUACUGACAACGUUAAAAAAAAGAAUAAGUAAUGACCACUUAAAAUGUUUAUUUUAUCAUAAUUACUUGUUUACUGUCUAACAAACAGUUAUGAGAAUCUGGUCCAACUAAUUAAUUCAUGCUCAACGGAACAGAACGCCUCACAUCAUGAUUGUGGAACACAGAGACUGUUUAAAAAUACAGUCAAAUCAAAAAAUGAUCUUUACUCAGAUCAUAACCACUGCACUUUUCUCCAUUUUCCUCCUCCUGAGCCCAAGCCUCAGUGAAGACACAGGAUUACAUCAGCUGCAGCGACUAGUGGAUCUUCUGACAGUUCAUGAGUGUGAAGAGCUUCUAAUGACCCUCUCAAACCCAGUUGAAAACCAUUCCCUCUCUGAGGAAACAAACCAAUUCAGAAUGAUAGGCCGCACACCCAGAGGUACAGACAAAAAGUCCCACUGUCAUUCACUACUGAUUGACUGGCUCCAGACCAAUGGUGAACAGAUGUACUAUGACAGACUAUCUCGCACUCUUCAGCAGAUUGGAAGGACUGACAUUGCAAUAGAGUUAGGUAAGAACAUUAAUCAGGACCAGACUCUGGCCAUGCAGCGCUAUGUUGACAAAUACCAUGAGCACAUCAACCAAAUACCAUCCUAUUUAAUGCACUCUCAAGCUGAGGAAACACAUCAUUCUGUAAAAGAAAACAGAUGGGAAACAUCUACCUAUAUCAUCAGCACCAUAACAGCACCAUCUUUGAAGAAAACCAAACACACUAUCACACAAGCAUCUCAUAUCUGCUGUCAGUGGCUUGGCUGAACAAAAUUCUUCUAAGGCAGAAGGGAUGAGUGAAAAGGGUAUUAAUAUAUUACUGUGAUCUGGUUGGAACAUGGCCAGUCUGUGGGUGUUUUGGAUGCAGCGUGUGGUAUAAAUGUCCGUGAGAGAGGGAAGAGAGACUCUAAUGGUCUUUUCAGCUGUUCUCACUAUCUGCUGUAGGGUCAUGCAAUCCGAGAUGGUGCAAUCCCAAACCAGACAGUGCAGCUGCUCAGUGGUCCCUCUGUAAAACGUAAUCAGGAUGGGAAGAGGCAGAUGUGGUUUCCUCAGCCUUCAUAGGAAGUAGAGAUGCUGCUGGGCUUUCUUGACCACUUCUCAUCACUUGGAGGCCACUCACUGCUGCCCUACAUGUACAUCCUUGAGAAAUAUAGCACUGUUAGAUAGUAUCACUUAGAGACCAUGGACAUGGCUUUGGACUGUCAUUUCCAUAAUUACUAACCAGUUGACAACUUCAUCAAGACAGACUUGAUAUAAUGAAUGAAUUGUCUUAUGCAUUGGUGCUUCUUGACUAUAAAAUACAGCUGUAGAUGUCUCUCAAGGUUUCUUUCUUCCUUUCUUCUUCUUUUUUCUUUCUUCUUCUUUAUUGCUUUUUGAAAAGAGCUAUACAAAUGAAAAUUGAUUGAAUUGAAGCUGAACAAACCCACACAGCCAAUUCCACAUCCAUUAAAAUAUUUCUAUUACUGGAACACCCCAUCAUCCUAGGGAUUCCCUAGCAAAUAUCAUGGCACAGCAAAGAAAUCGCAAUCCUACUGCAUUAAUCCCUGCCUGCAUCUUCACCACUUAGUAAUUGCACUUACUACAAUGAAAAGCCCCAAAAGUCAAGCACUUACAACAGUUACUAUAAAAUAUCAAGAUAUAGAAGAUGGCUUCAGCAAAGAUAAAGCUAGCCUACCACUACAUAGACCCACUGACUGUGACACAGAGCUCCUGACAGGCGCCAUCCAAGUUAAUCUCAAUUCAGUUCAAUUCAGAUUUAAUUUGUAUAAACUUUUAACAAUGGACAUUGCUUCAAUCAUUGAAGGACAAUGAAUCUUUUAAUAUAUCCUAUCUUCUUAGCCUCACAAUAAGCAGUGGAGGACUUCACCUAAGAGCCAUUAAAACAAGCGAGGAGCUUGUCCUGGAAGGAUUUGGACCUGGUGGUGGAGUGGCAACCAAAGCCACCAUACCAGCAUCACAUGCUGGAUGGUGUAUGGACUCUGAUCAUUGGCCUCAUCCUUGGAGUUAUUGGUGCACU
This is an RNA transcript of Tachysurus fulvidraco (yellow catfish), 2410 nucleotides long. It is a transcript of the gene named transmembrane and death domain protein 1-like, with no coding region annotated. The transcript has 7 exons. Lineage: Eukaryota; Metazoa; Chordata; Actinopteri; Siluriformes; Bagridae. The record is from RefSeq and is a predicted model, not a curated record.